Non-coding RNA from Ceratotherium simum simum (southern white rhinoceros), 568 nucleotides. Lineage: Eukaryota; Metazoa; Chordata; Mammalia; Perissodactyla; Rhinocerotidae. The record is from RefSeq and is a predicted model, not a curated record.
ACCCAGACUCUCCACACUUGAAUUUCUCCCUCUGCUCCCAGAGACACCCUCCACCCUGAGGUCCCACUUCUGCCAUGGCUGAGGGCUCCCUGAAAAUCCCCUCCACCCUGAGAUCUCCAACCACGUAUGCUGAGACACCCCCUUCUAUCCUGAGGGCAGCCUAUGACUUCUGAGCCCCCAACCCCUAGUUCUGAGGACCCCCAGAGGUAGCUAAAUACCCCUAUCCACCCUGAGGUCUUUCCAGACUCCCUGAGGUCCCUUUCCAUCCUGACACCCCCACCCUCACCCCAUGAGCCCUGAGAUUCCUCUAUGCCCUAAGGACCCAACUCCCCCCACCCCUUAAUUUCCUCCUAGGCACUCUGAGACCCCUCCUGAAGUUGCCAGCACCCCCCUCUCUCCCCACCCAUCACCUCUGCACUCAGCCAUGACGUGCAGCCUGCAGUUAGGCACCCCUGCCAGGCAUCUUCAGCUCUUUCCAGCCACUGCCACCCUGCAGAGAGCUGCUCCUUUGGGGGCUGUUUGGCAAUCUUCAUGUUGCACAUUAAAAACUCAGCAAUUCAGUACUGCA